CCCUUAGACGUUCUGGGCCGCACGCGCGCUACACUGACCAGUGCAACAAGCAUCCGUCCUUGGCCGACAGGCCCGGGCAAUCUUUGAACGCUGGUCGUGAUGGGGAUAGACUUUUGCAAUUUUUGGUCUUCAACGAGGAAUUCCUAGUAAACGCAAGUCAUCAACUUGCAUUGAUUACGUCCCUGCCCUUUGUACACACCGCCCGUCGCACCUACCGAUUGAAUGGUCCGGUGAAAUUCUCGGACGCGGACUUGCGAUGUUAAUUCGGAGCUUGACUGUGAAAGUUAAUUAAACCUUACCAUUUAAAGGAAGGUGAAGUCGUAACA
RNAcentral lists this ribosomal RNA (326 nucleotides) under uncultured eukaryote. Its description in RNAcentral is "partial 18S ribosomal RNA". It matches the Rfam family "Eukaryotic small subunit ribosomal RNA", at positions 1470 to 1796 of the family's 1831-position model. The record is from RNAcentral.